RNAcentral lists this unclassified non-coding RNA (1213 nucleotides) under Hevea brasiliensis (rubber tree). Lineage: Eukaryota; Viridiplantae; Streptophyta; Magnoliopsida; Malpighiales; Euphorbiaceae. The record is from RNAcentral.
GCUGUUGUUAACAAACAAGAUCAUUUGGAAUUGCCUCCUGGUUUUCGAUUUCAUCCUACUGAUGAAGAGCUUAUUUCUCAUUACUUAUUCGAGAAGGUUAUGGAUAGUAGUUUCUCUUGCAGAGCAAUUGGAGAUGUUGAUCUUAACAAAUCUGAGCCUUGGGACUUGCCUUGGAAGGCGAAAAUGGGAGAAAAAGAGUGGUAUUUUUUCUGUGUUAGAGAUAGAAAAUACCCAACUGGAUUGAGAACCAACAGAGCAACUGAAGCUGGGUACUGGAAAGCUACUGGGAAAGAUAAAGAUAUUUACAGAGGAAAAUCUCUUGUGGGUAUGAAGAAAACUUUGGUUUUUUAUAGAGGAAGAGCUCCAAAAGGGGAAAAAUCUGAUUGGGUUAUGCAUGAAUAUCGAUUAGAGGGUAAACUCUCUGCUUUAAACCUCCCUAAAACUGCCAAGAAUGAAUGGGUGAUUUGUAGGGUGUUUCAGAAAAAUUCAAGUGGGAAAAAAGUGGAUAUCUCUGGGAUGUCAAAAUUGGGUUCUUUUGGGAAUGAUUUUGGCCAUUCCAUCCUUCCUCCAUUAACAGAUUCAUCGCCAUUUAAUGGAGAAACCAAACGCCCUGUGGUUCAAUUGCCCAAUAACGUGCCCUGCUUCUCCAUCGCCAUGGAUUCUCAAAGAAAACUCGAACCAAUGGCUUCUUCUUACAAUACUUCUUUAUUUUCUGUAAUUCCUAAUCCAAUCGAUUCGUUUCCUAGAAACCCACAUUCAAAUUCAAUGUAUUCACCGCCAAAUCAGACCUUCUCUGUUCCUCCAAAUCUGCAAUUCCAAAACUCUGUUCUUUUGCAAGAGCAACAGUCGCUUCUCAGAGCUUUAAUUCAGAACGUCAAUGACGGAAACACACGAGAAUCAUUCAAACCAGAGAGAGACAAAAUCAGUAUCUCUCAAGAAACGUGCCUCACCACCGAUGUCAACAACGAAAUUUCAUCUGUUUUUCCAAAUCUUGAAAUGGGUCGAAGGCCGUUUGACAAUUCUCAAGAAGCUCCGCCGGCUCCUAUGGCGCCGAUCGACCUUGACGGCUUCUGGAAUUACUGAAAUUAACAAAGUAAAAGAAGGAGAGGUUGAAGAUGAAGUAUUAGAAGAAAAAACAAAAUAUACAUAUAAUAAAUGGGAAUUUUGGGAUUUGGUUUAGUUAGAAUGUGGGUGUUUGCCUAGAUUAUCAAAA